AGUGAACGCUGGCGGUAGGCCUAACACAUGCAAGUCGAACGGCAGCACAGUAAGAGCUUGCUCUUACGGGUGGCGAGUGGCGGACGGGUGAGGAAUACAUCGGAAUCUACUUUUUCGUGGGGGAUAACGUAGGGAAACUUACGCUAAUACCGCAUACGACCUACGGGUGAAAGCAGGGGAUCUUCGGACCUUGCGCGAUUGAAUGAGCCGAUGUCGGAUUAGCUAGUUGGCGGGGUAAAGGCCCACCAAGGCGACGAUCCGUAGCUGGUCUGAGAGGGUGAUCAGCCACACUGGAACUGAGACACGGUCCAGACUCCUACGGGAGGCAGCAAUGGGGAAUAUUGGACAAUGGGCGCAAGCCUGAUCCAGCCAUACCGCGUGGGUGAAGAAGGCCUUCGGGUUGUAAAGCCCUUUUGUUGGGAAAGAAAAGCAGCAGGUUAAUACCCCGCUGUUCUGACGGUACCCAAAGAAUAAGCACCGGCUAACUUCGUG
RNAcentral lists this ribosomal RNA (492 nucleotides) under uncultured bacterium. RNAcentral's name for it is "partial 16S ribosomal RNA". It matches the Rfam family "Bacterial small subunit ribosomal RNA", at positions 29 to 507 of the family's 1533-position model. The record is from RNAcentral.